Non-coding RNA from Rhodocollybia butyracea, 97 nucleotides. Lineage: Eukaryota; Fungi; Basidiomycota; Agaricomycetes; Agaricales; Omphalotaceae. The record is from the annotation of a GenBank genome assembly.
GCCCUUAUAGUCUAGUGGUAUGACACUUCAGUCCUAUAAACGUCAAUGUCCUGUACCUCUGACUGAGGAGGCGUGGGUUCAAAUCCCACUAAGGGUA